Molecule: long non-coding RNA, 609 nt
Organism: Gasterosteus aculeatus aculeatus (three-spined stickleback)
Lineage: Eukaryota; Metazoa; Chordata; Actinopteri; Perciformes; Gasterosteidae
Source: Ensembl
ACCGGAAGGGUGGGGGGUGUUAAACCUUAAGUGCAAAAAACAAUAAAUAAGGACGCUUGUCCUUCAGGCUUUAUACCGACGAGGUCACGCCUGAAGCCUCCGCUCGCCCAAAGGUUUCACCACCAGUUCUGGACCCGCACGUCCACUUCAUCACGCGCCUUCUAACACAGGAAAAUUAAUUUAUGUAGAAAUGAAAGUGAACCUGUGAUUCUGUACAUCGGACACAGAUCAAAAGAACAACAAUUACAACAAAGAACCUCCGAGUGUGGGCCGGCUGUGCACUCAGCAACAAUGAGCUUUCUGGCAACGUCACUAAAAUGGGUCCAGAAGUUCAACACUUUCAUCCAGAAUCUCACCAAUUCUUCUCUCAAAGGGAAGUAAUGUAAAUCUUUUAAAUCGUUAUUCGCUGGGGCACAAUGCCUCGCAAAACUAUGGCAUCACGGUGAAGGAAUUUUGAAGUAAUUCAUGUCAUGUUAUGCGGGGUGAAGAUCGGACGGGUCGCCUCCAUCCCGGAGUUUUGAACUUUUGGUGAGCGGCCUGCAGGCCCCGAUAGAGCUCUUGAUGUAUUAUCUGAAAUGUUGGGAUGAAGACAUUCAGCAAAGGGUAAAG